Molecule: RNA transcript, 3359 nt
Organism: Ziziphus jujuba (common jujube)
Lineage: Eukaryota; Viridiplantae; Streptophyta; Magnoliopsida; Rosales; Rhamnaceae
Gene name: 26S proteasome non-ATPase regulatory subunit 2 homolog A
Exons: 25
Source: RefSeq, a predicted model, not a curated record
GAAAGGGAGAACAAAGUGGUUUUCUUGGUGAAGAGGAAAAACAAACUAUACCUCUCUUGUUCAUCAACUCUUCUAGGGUUCACUCUAACAAUACGGCAUGGCACCAGAUCCGAACAGCAAUGGUGGCAGUGGAAGUGGCCGCGGCACCAGCAAUGAGGCCUCCGUUAAGGUUCCGGCUAAAGACGCCAAGAAGAAGGACGACAAGAAGGAUGAAGAUUUGUCCGAUGAGGACUUGGCGUUAAAGCAGCAGUUGGAGUUGUACGUGGAGAGAGUUCAGGAUCCUGAUCCUGGUCUGCAGAAGAUUGCUCUUGAGAGUAUGAGGCAGGAAAUCCGUACCUCAACAAGCUCUAUGACCUCAGUUCCAAAGCCACUUAAGUUUCUUCGCCCACAUUAUGGAACUUUGAAAACUUAUUAUGAAACAAUGGAAGACUCAGAGUUGAAGAAAUACCUAGCAGACAUACUAUCAGUUUUGGCACUUACAAUGUCUGCCGAGGGAGAACGGGAGAGCUUAAAGUACAGAUUGUUGGGUUCUGAAGGUGAUAUAGGUUCAUGGGGCCAUGAAUAUGUCAGGAACCUAGCUGGUGAAAUUGCUCAAGAGUAUGCUAAGCGACAGAGUGAAGAGGCCCCUAUUGAUGAUCUAAUGGAACUAGUACAACAAAUUGUUGCUUUCCAUAUGAAGCAUAACGCUGAACCUGAAGCAGUUGACCUUUUAAUGGAGGUUGAGGACCUAGAUCUGUUAGUUGAGCAUGUUGAUAGUACAAAUUUUAGAAGGACUUGUCUCUAUCUUACUAGUUCAGCAAGAUACCUUCCUGGACCAGAUGAUAUGUUAGUUCUGGAUAUUGCAUACAUGAUAUAUCUUAAAUUUGAAGAAUAUCCAAAUGCACUUCAGAUUGCACUUUUCCUUGAUAAUUUGCAGUAUGUGAGGCAGGUCUUUACCUCUUGUGAUGAUUUUCUAAGAAAAAAGCAAUUUUGUUAUAUCCUUGCCCGACAUGGUGUGUGUUUUGAGCUUGAUGAAGAGAUGGCUGCAGAUGAGAUUGACAGAGAGUCACUGCAGGAUAUCAUCAACAAUACUAGGUUAAAUGAAGGUUAUCUUACCCUUGCUCGUGAUAUUGAGGUCAUGGAGGCCAAAACUCCAGAGGAUAUCUAUAAGGCUCACUUACUUGAUGGCCGGGCCAGUGCUGGGGCAAGUGUUGAUUCAGCUAGACAGAACUUGGCAGCAACUUUUGUCAAUGCGUUUGUAAAUGCUGGCUUUGGUCAGGAUAAGCUGAUGACAGUUCCAACUGAUGCUUCCAGCGGUGGUUCUUCAGGUAACUGGCUUUUUAAGAAUAAGGAGCAUGGGAAGACCAGUGCUGCUGCAAGUCUGGGCAUGAUAUUACUGUGGGAUGUGGAUUCUGGACUUGCUCAACUUGACAAGUACUUCCACAGCAAUGACAACCACGUAAUUGCUGGUGCCUUGUUGGGAGUUGGAAUUGUCAAUAGCAGUAUCAAGAAUGAUUGUGAUCCUGCACUGGCACUUCUGGGCGACUAUGUAGAUAGAGAAGAUCCAUCUAUCAGAAUCGGUGCAAUAAUGGGCCUAGGAAUAACAUAUGCUGGUACUCAAAAUGAAACGCUACGUCAUAAACUGUCUCCUAUUCUUAACGAUGCAAAAGCUCCCCUUGAUGUGAUUGCAUUCACUGCAAUCUCAUUGGGCUUGAUAUACGUGGGAUCUUGCAAUGAAGAGGUUGCUCAGGCAAUUAUAUUGGCAUUGAUGGAGCGAAGUGAUGCAGAGUUUGGGGAGCCCCUUACUCGGCUAUUGCCUUUAAGUCUUGGUCUUCUAUACCUUGGGAAGCAGGAAAGUGUGGAGGCUACUGCUGAAGUUUCAAAGACCUUCGAUGAAAAGAUCAGAAAACAUUGUGACAUGGUUCUGCUUUCUUGUGCUUAUGCGGGAACUGGGAAUGUUCUCAAGGUCCAAAACCUUCUGGGUCAUUGUUCACAACAUCUUGAGAAGGGUGAAACCCACCAGGGGCCUGCUGUGCUUGGAAUUGCAAUGGUAGCUAUGGCUGAAGAAUUGGGCCUUGAAAUGGCAAUUCGUUCAUUAGAGCAUCUUUUGCAGUAUGGAGAACAGAAUAUCCGUAGGGCAGUUCCUUUGGCUCUUGGUCUUCUUUGCAUUUCAAACCCAAAGGUCAAUGUCAUGGAUACGUUAAGCAGACUUAGUCAUGAUACUGAUUCAGAAGUUGCCAUGGCAGCGGUUAUCUCCUUAGGUUUAAUAGGUGCAGGAACCAACAAUGCGAGAAUAGCUGGCAUGCUACGUAAUUUGUCUAGCUAUUACUACAAAGAUGCGAGCCUUCUGUUCUGUGUACGGAUUGCUCAAGGUUUAGUACAUUUGGGAAAGGGCUUAUUAACUCUAAACCCAUAUCAUUCUGAUCGCUUCUUGCUGUCACCGACAGCACUCGCAGGAAUUACAACCAUGCUGCAUGCAUGCCUUGAUAUGAAAGCGAUCAUUUUGGGAAAAUAUCAUUAUGUUCUCUACUUCCUUGUGUUGGCAAUGCAGCCGAGGAUGUUGAUGACUGUGGAUGAGAACCUCAAACCUCUCUCCGUACCUGUUCGAGUGGGCCAAGCUGUUGAUGUUGUUGGGCAAGCUGGUCGUCUUAAAACAAUAACUGGGUUCCAAACCCACUCCACGCCGGUUCUUCUUGCUGCUGGUGAUAGGGCAGAGUUGGCUACUGAAAAGUAAUUGAAUCGCUUGCAUUUGAUUUUGCUGUUUGGCCUUGUUUGGCCUUCUGGCUGUUAAUUAGUUGCUAACAAUUGGUUGUGUCCGUACAGGUGCCAUGUGGAAAACACGUGGAUGAAGUUCCUUGUCAGCUUUAGACUUCCAUGGCCUGCCCAAGAGAGGAAAUUUUGAUAUCUUCUUUACCAAAUAAUGGAUUUUAAGUCCAAGCAGAUACUCAAUAAUACAGCUAGGUGGGAGAUGGGGGUGCUGUAGGUAGGGGAUUGGGAAUUGCGUUUUAUGCCCCCAGAUAAAGAUAUAUGCUGCAUCGAUCUCAAAUUUUAGAUUUUUGCCUUAGUGUUUAUAAAGUGGGGGAAAUUCUUUUUACGUCCUUACCCUUUUUAUUUUGUAAAGUCCAAUUUUCUCAAAUGAUUCAUCUUCCCUCUCUCUUCUGCAUGCUUCUGCGAACUCCGAACGUCUCCAGCUCAGCUGCCCAAUGUUAUCGCUUAUCUGAUAAUUUUGUAAUUAAUUUUUAGUUUUCAUCUCUCUCUCUCUCUCUCUCUCUCUCUCUAUUUCUGGAUUUCUGUAUCAUGACUUACGUGCAAUCAAAUCCCCCUAUAGGCUGUUUGUUCCCCCCUAUGCAAUACUAGUUGGUUUUAAUGAUUUUUUGUCA